RNAcentral lists this long non-coding RNA (1868 nucleotides) under Amazona collaria (yellow-billed parrot). Its description in RNAcentral is "lncRNA (ENSACOG00000006257.1)". Lineage: Eukaryota; Metazoa; Chordata; Aves; Psittaciformes; Psittacidae. The record is from RNAcentral.
GACAGUAGCAGCAGCAGGGUGCUGCCGGGCGGGCGGUGUCUCCCAGGCGGCCUUGCCCGGAUGUGCUACCCUGACUCAUAGUCGCGCCGCACGCAGGCUCCGCGCUGCUGCCGUGCUCUCCCGUCCCGCUUCGCGCACACGCCUCCCGCGCCUCCCUCCGCGCCAGCGGGGAGGCGGUGGCUGCAGCAGCGGCAGGAGGGGAAGGAGGAGGAGGCCGCGGCGGCACCAUGGAUAAUCUAAGUGAUGCCCUGAAAAAGCUGAAGAUAACAACCACUGACAGCACAGCAGAUAGCUUGGAGGGAUGCUUGGACUGUCUGCUUCAAGCUCUGGCACAAAACAAUAUGGAGACAAGUGAAAAAAUCCAGAAAAGUGGAGUUCUUCAGGUGUUCGGGAGUCUGUUGACGCCACAAUCUUCCUGCACAGCAAAAGUAGCUAACAUCAUAGCAGAAGUAGCCAGAAAUGAAUUUAUGCGAAACCCAUGUGUGGAUGCCGGGUUGAUCCCUCCUUUGGUGCAGCUGUUAAACUGCAAAGACCAGGAAGUAUUGCUUCAAACAGGACGUGCCCUGGGCAAUAUAUGCUACGAUAGCCAUACCCUGCAGUCACAGCUUAUCAAUAUGGGUGUUAUUCCUACAUUAGUGAAAUUGUUGGGUAUUCAUUGCCAAAAUGCAGCUCUGACAGAGAUGUGCCUUGUUGCAUUUGGCAAUUUAGCAGAACUUGAGUCAAGUAAAGAGCAGUUUGCCUACACAAACAUUGCUGAAGAGCUUGUUAAACUGUUCAAGAAGCAAAUAGAGCAUGAUAAAAGAGAGAUGAUUUUUGAAGUUUUGGCUCCCCUGGCAGAAAAUGAUGUCAUUAAACUGCAGCUGGUUGAAGCUGGCUUGGUGGAGUGCCUACUUGAGAUUGUCCAGAAGACUGUGGACAGUGACAAAGAAGAUGAUGUUGCAGAGCUUAAAACAGCUUCUGAUCUUAUGGUUUUAUUAUUGCUUGGAGAUGAAUCCAUGCAAAAGUUAUUUGAAGGAGGAAAAGGCAGCGUAUUCCAAAGAGUACUUUCGUGGAUUCCUUCCAACAGCCAUCAGCUACAGCUUGCAGGAGCAUUGGCUAUUGCAAAUUUUGCCAGAAAUGAUGGAAACUGCAUCCAUAUGGUGGAUAAUGGCAUAGUUCAAAAGCUGAUGGAUCUGCUAGACAGACAUGUGGAGGACGGAAAUGUAACUGUGCAGCAUGCUGCACUGAGUGCUCUCAGAAACCUGGCUAUUCCUGUUGUAAAUAAGGCUAAGAUGCUAUCAGCUGGUGUUGCAGAAGCUGUAUUGAAAUUUCUCAGAUCGGAGAUGCCCCCUGUUCAGUUCAAGCUGCUGGGAACAUUAAGAAUGUUAAUAGAUGCACAAGCAGAAGCCGCUGAACAGCUGGGCAAAAAUAUCAAACUGGUGGAACGGUUGGUGGAAUGGUGUGAAGCCAAGGAUCACGCAGGUGUGAUGGGGGAAUCCAACAGACUACUUUCCGCACUUAUACGACACAGCAAAUCUAAAGAUGUAAUUAGGACCAUUGUACAGAGUGGAGGCAUAAAGCAUCUAGUAACCAUGGCAACCAGUGAACAUGUAAUAAUGCAAAACGAAGCUCUUGUUGCACUGGCAUUAAUAGCGGCUUUAGAGUUAGUCACUGCUGAAAAGGAUCUCGAAAACGCUCAGCUUGUUCAGAUUCUACACAGACUGCUCUCAGACGACAGGAGUGCUCCAGAAAUAAAAUACAACUCCAUGGUGUUGAUCUGUGCCCUUAUAGGAUCUGGUGAGUAUUCGCUGAGGUUUCCAAUGGUGGCGGUGUUUCUUUCAUCCAGUUCUUUGAGAAGUAUUUACUCUGUGAAAGGAGAACAAAUUUAA